UCAAUAAAAAAUUUUAAUUAUUUCUAAUUUCCAAAAUUAGUAUUUUAAACUUAAAUUAUUUAUUG
RNAcentral lists this transfer RNA (65 nucleotides) under Neomaskellia andropogonis. RNAcentral's name for it is "tRNA-Pro". The record is from RNAcentral. Lineage: Eukaryota; Metazoa; Arthropoda; Insecta; Hemiptera; Aleyrodidae.